CCCUUAGAUGUUCUGGGCCGCACGCGCGCUACACUGAUGCAUUCAACGAGUCUAAAACCUGGUCUGAUAGGGCUGGGUAAUCUUUUGAAUGUGCAUCGUGAUUGGGAUAGAUGAUUGCAAUUCUUCAUCUUCAACGAGGAAUGCCUAGUAAACGCAAGUCAUCAGCUUGCAUUGAUUACGUCCCUGCCCUUUGUACACACCGCCCGUCGCUCCUACCGAUUGAAUGAUCCGAUGAAUAUCAUGGAUUGAGGAUGCAAGUAGGUUCACCUAUCUUCAUCUUCGAGAAGUGAAGUAAAUCUUAUCAUUUAGAGGAAGGAGAAGUCGUAACA
This 329-nucleotide ribosomal RNA is filed under the name uncultured eukaryote. Its description in RNAcentral is "partial 18S ribosomal RNA". It matches the Rfam family "Eukaryotic small subunit ribosomal RNA", at positions 1470 to 1796 of the family's 1831-position model. The record is from RNAcentral.